AGAGUUUGAUCAUGGCUCAGAGCGAACGCUGGCGGCAGGCUUAACACAUGCAAGUCGAGCGGGCGUAGCAAUACGUCAGCGGCAGACGGGUGAGUAACGCGUGGGAACAUACCUUUUGGUUCGGAACAACACAGGGAAACUUGUGCUAAUACCGGAUAAGCCCUUACGGGGAAAGAUUUAUCGCCGAAAGAUUGGCCCGCGUCUGAUUAGCUAGUUGGUGAGGUAAUGGCUCACCAAGGCGACGAUCAGUAGCUGGUCUGAGAGGAUGAUCAGCCACAUUGGGACUGAGACGCGGCCCAAACUCCUACGGGAGGCAGCAGUGGGGAAUAUUGGACAAUGGGCGCAAGCCUGAUCCAGCCAUGCCGCGUGAGUGAUGAAGGCCCUAGGGUUGUAAAGCUCUUUUGUGCGGGAAGAUAAUGACGGUACCGCAAGAAUAAGCCCCGGCUAACUUCGUGCCAGCAGCCGCGGUAAUACGAAGGGGGCUAGCGUUGCUCGGAAUCACUGGGCGUAAAGGGUGCGUAGGCGGGUCUUUAAGUCAGGGGUGAAAUCCUGGAGCUCAACUCCAGAACUGCCUUUGAUACUGAGGAUCUUGAGUACGGGAGAGGUGAGUGGAACUGCGAGUGUAGAGGUGAAAUUCGUAGAUAUUCGCAAGAACACCAGUGGCGAAGGCGGCUCACUGGCCCGUUACUGACGCUGAGGCACGAAAGCGUGGGGAGCAAACAGGAUUAGAUACCCCCGUAGUCC
RNAcentral lists this ribosomal RNA (744 nucleotides) under uncultured bacterium. RNAcentral's name for it is "bacterial SSU rRNA". It matches the Rfam family "Bacterial small subunit ribosomal RNA", at positions 8 to 796 of the family's 1533-position model. The record is from RNAcentral.